GGUUCACCCUGUAUCAGACCCUGGAGCCCAUGGUGUCCAGGUCUAUCUGCCUGGCCAAGGGGAGGUGAGUUAAGGAAGGGCAUGGUGGGGAAAGAUGGUGAAGCCAAAGGAGGCAAACAGGAUGGGACCCCUGUGCACUGAGUGAGCCGGUAUCUUACGUCUUUUGUCACUCACAGGUGUGGUAUGACAUUCAAAGCUACCAGAAGCAUCAUGGUCCCCAGACCCUAUACCUGCCUGUAACUCUAAGCAGUAUUCCUGUGUUCCAGCGUGGAGGGACAGUCGUGCCUCGAUGGAUGCGAGUGCGGCGGUCUUCAGAAUGUAUGAAGGAUGACCCCAUCACUCUCUUUGUUGCACUUAGCCCUCAGGGUACAGCUCAAGGAGAGCUCUUUCUGGAUGAUGGGCACACGUUCAAC
RNAcentral lists this small RNA (413 nucleotides) under Pongo abelii (Sumatran orangutan). RNAcentral describes it as "retained intron". Lineage: Eukaryota; Metazoa; Chordata; Mammalia; Primates; Hominidae. The record is from RNAcentral.